RNAcentral lists this ribosomal RNA (319 nucleotides) under uncultured Chloroflexota bacterium. Its description in RNAcentral is "bacterial SSU rRNA". It matches the Rfam family "Bacterial small subunit ribosomal RNA", at positions 28 to 351 of the family's 1533-position model. Lineage: Bacteria; Bacillati; Chloroflexota. The record is from RNAcentral.
GAUUAACGCUGGCGGCGUGCCUAAUACAUGCAAGUCGAACGGAGAAUUAGCAAUAGUUCUUAGUGGCGAAUGGGUGAGUAACGCGUUGGUGACCUGCCCCAAAGUGAGGGAUAACAACUCGAAAGGGUUGCUAAUACCCCAUGUGGUCAGCGGAUUUGGAAACCGCUGUCUAAAGCAGUAAUGCGCUUUGGGAGGGGCCUGCGUCCCAUCAGCUAGUUGGUAGGGUAAUGGCCUACCAAGGCGACGACGGGUAGGGGGCCUGAGAGGGUGGCCCCCCACACUGGCACUGAAACACGGGCCAGACACCUACGGGAGGCAG